Triticum dicoccoides is the source of this 636-nucleotide long non-coding RNA. RefSeq lists it as uncharacterized. NCBI's taxonomy places the organism in Eukaryota, Viridiplantae, Streptophyta, Magnoliopsida, Poales, Poaceae. The record is from RefSeq and is a predicted model, not a curated record. The transcript has 5 exons.
UAUGCGUGGCGGGCGAGGGCGAUGUCUCUGGUCACAUCGGUGUGUCACUCCUCGGCGUGUAUGGCGUCUCGCUGGCGGGCGUGGUGCAGUGGGCGGUAGCGGCCGAGCGCACUGAACCUCCCGCUGGAUUUGUCCAACGAUGUAUCUCAAUGUCCUUUACGAUCUUCAGUAUUGUUUUGUCCGCGUCCACAAACACACUGUCGGGCAAGACGACGGACGUGCUUCUGCUCUCCCUAGAAGCAAACAAGCGGUCUACUCCAUCUAGCACCUCGAAGAGCAACCGCAGUGCAGACCGCCCCUUGCAGGCUUCAGAUCACCCACAAGAAUGUUGCGAAUUUGGGCGGACAUACUAGCUCUUACUACUUGAGUACUUGUUGGUCCGCCACAGAGCGGCUCCCGCUCCAAGUUGGCCACAAAACCCCAGGAGCAUGUUGAGGGCAUAAGACAAGCAAAUAACAAGAAAUCCGCCAAACAUUGUGUGUUCAACUUCGUUUUUCGUUCUGGGGAUUGCCUCUUUGUUGGCCUCCAGUGUGGGCGCUGAAGUAUUCCGAGGCAAUCUUUGACAGGAGUUGAUGUAUUCUUUUUCUUUUACUUGAUUUAGCAAAUUUCAAAAUUCUAUGCAAAUUUUAUAACUCA